This 460-nucleotide ribosomal RNA is filed under the name uncultured bacterium. RNAcentral describes it as "bacterial SSU rRNA". It matches the Rfam family "Bacterial small subunit ribosomal RNA", at positions 338 to 795 of the family's 1533-position model. The record is from RNAcentral.
CCUANGGGUGGCUGCAGUGAGGAAUAUUGGGCAAUGGGCGCAAGCCUGACCCAGCCAUGCCGCGUGAAGGAUGAAUGCCCUAUGGGUUGUAAACUUCUUUUGUACGGGACGAAACUCCUGGUCGUGACCAGGAUUGACUGUACCGUGCGAAUAAGCAUCGGCUAACUCCGUGCCAGCAGCCGCGGUAAUACGGAGGAUGCAAGCGUUAUCCGGAUUCAUUGGGUUUAAAGGGUGCGUAGGCGGAAUAGUAAGUCAGUGGUGAAAGCCUGCGGCUUAACCGUAGAAUUGCCAUUGAUACUGUUAUUCUUGAGUAUAGUUGAGGUGGGCGGAAUGUGUAAUGUAGCGGUGAAAUGCUUAGAUAUUACACAGAACACCAAUUGCGAAGGCAGCUCACUAAGCUGUUACUGACGCUGAGGCACGAAAGCGUGGGGAGCAAACAGGAUUAGAUACCCUGNUANUC